Molecule: ribosomal RNA, 605 nt
Filed under: uncultured bacterium
Lineage: Bacteria
Description: bacterial SSU rRNA
Rfam family: Bacterial small subunit ribosomal RNA
Source: RNAcentral
CCUACGGGAGGCAGCAGUAAGGAAUAUUGGUCAAUGGACGCAAGUCUGAACCAGCCAUGCCGCGUGAAGGAUGAAUGCCCUCUGGGUUGUAAACUUCUUUUAUAGGGGACGAAAAAGGGUCUUUUUAGAUCAACUGACGGUACCCUAGGAAUAAGCACCGGCUAACUCCGUGCCAGCAGCCGCGGUAAUACGGAGGGUGCAAGCGUUAUCCGGAUUUACUGGGUUUAAAGGGUGCGUAGGUGGGUUGGUAAGUCAGCGGUGAAAUCUUCGAGCUUAACUCGGAAACUGCCAUUGAUACUAUCAGCCUUGAAUAUCCUGGAGGUGAGCGGAAUAUGUCAUGUAGCGGUGAAAUGCUUAGAUAUGACAUAGAACACCAAUUGCGAAGGCAGCUCACUACGGGAUUAUUGACACUGAGGCACGAAAGCGUGGGGAUCAAACAGGAUUAGAUACCCUGGUAGUCCACGCCCUAAACGAUGGAUACUCGACAUUUGCGAUAUACAGUAAGUGUCUGAGCGAAAGCAUUAAGUAUCCCACCUGGAAGUACGAUCGCAGAUUGAACUCAAGAGUAGUGCGNGAGAGAGCGACGAGACGACGAGGAGGAGGNG